This is a non-coding RNA of Pangasianodon gigas (Mekong giant catfish), 72 nucleotides long. Lineage: Eukaryota; Metazoa; Chordata; Actinopteri; Siluriformes; Pangasiidae. The record is from the annotation of a GenBank genome assembly.
GCAUUAGUGGACUAGUGGUUAGGCCACGUCGCUCUCACCGCCACAGCCCAGGUUUGAUUCCUGGCCAGGGAC